RNAcentral lists this ribosomal RNA (495 nucleotides) under uncultured bacterium. Its description in RNAcentral is "bacterial SSU rRNA". It matches the Rfam family "Bacterial small subunit ribosomal RNA", at positions 28 to 507 of the family's 1533-position model. The record is from RNAcentral.
GAUGAACGCUAGCUACAGGCUUAACACAUGCAAGUCGAGGGAACGACAUCGAAAGCUUGCUUUUGUAUGGGCGUCGACCGGCGCACGGGUGAGUAACGCGUAUCCAACCUGCCCACCACUUGGGGAUAACCUUGCGAAAGUAAGACUAAUACCCGAUGAUAUCUCUAGACGACAUCUGAAAGGGAUUAAAGAUUUAUCGGUGAUGGAUGGGGAUGCGUCUGAUUAGCUUGUUGGCGGGGUAACGGCCCACCAAGGCAACGAUCAGUAGGGGUUCUGAGAGGAAGGUCCCCCACAUUGGAACUGAGACACGGUCCAAACUCCUACGGGAGGCAGCAGUUGAGGAAUAUUGGUCAAUGGGCGAGAGCCUUGAACCAGCCAAGUAGCGUGCAGGACGACGGCCCUUAUGGGUUGUAAACUGCUUUUAUAAGGGAAUAAAGUGAGUCUCGUGAGACUUUUUUGCAUGUACCUUAUGAAUAAGGACCGGCUAAUUCCGUG